AUUGAACGCUGGCGGCAGGCCUAACACAUGCAAGUCGAGCGGAUGAAGGGAGCUUGCUCCUGGAUUCAGCGGCGGACGGGUGAGUAAUGCCUAGGAAUCUGCCUGGUAGUGGGGGAUAACGUCCGGAAACGGGCGCUAAUACCGCAUACGUCCUGAGGGAGAAAGUGGGGGAUCUUCGGACCUCACGCUAUCAGAUGAGCCUAGGUCGGAUUAGCUAGUUGGUGGGGUAAAGGCCUACCAAGGCGACGAUCCGUAACUGGUCUGAGAGGAUGAUCAGUCACACUGGAAAUGAGACACGGUCCAGACUCCUACGGGAGGCAGCAGUGGGGAAUAUUGGACAAUGGGCGAAAGCCUGAUCCAGCCAUGCCGCGUGUGUGAAGAAGGUCUUCGGAUUUUAAAGCACUUUAAGUUGGGAGGAAGGGCAGUAAGUUAAUACCUUGCUGUUUUGACGUUACCAACAGAAUAAGCACCGGCUAACUUCGUG
RNAcentral lists this ribosomal RNA (484 nucleotides) under uncultured bacterium. RNAcentral's name for it is "partial 16S ribosomal RNA". It matches the Rfam family "Bacterial small subunit ribosomal RNA", at positions 30 to 507 of the family's 1533-position model. The record is from RNAcentral.